GGUGGCUCAGUGGUAAAGCACUUGUCUUGCACGCAUGAGGCCCUGGGUUCAAUUCCUCAGCACCA
This 65-nucleotide transfer RNA is filed under the name Dipodomys ordii (Ord's kangaroo rat). It matches the Rfam family "tRNA". Rfam says of the family: Transfer RNA (tRNA) molecules are approximately 80 nucleotides in length. Lineage: Eukaryota; Metazoa; Chordata; Mammalia; Rodentia; Heteromyidae. The record is from Rfam by way of RNAcentral.